GCAUGUGUGGUGUAGUGGUUAUCACGCGUCCUUCACACGGACGGGUCCCGAGUUCGAUCCUCGGCAGAUGCA
Molecule: transfer RNA, 72 nt
Filed under: Vairimorpha apis BRL 01
Lineage: Eukaryota; Fungi; Microsporidia; Nosematidae
Description: tRNA-Val (CAC) (tRNA-Val-CAC-1-1)
Rfam family: tRNA
About the family: Transfer RNA (tRNA) molecules are approximately 80 nucleotides in length. Their secondary structure includes four short double-helical elements and three loops (D, anti-codon, and T loops). Further hydrogen bonds mediate the characteristic L-shaped molecular structure. tRNAs have two regions of fundamental functional importance: the anti-codon, which is responsible for specific mRNA codon recognition, and the 3' end, to which the tRNAs corresponding amino acid is attached (by aminoacyl-tRNA synthetases). tRNAs cope with the degeneracy of the genetic code in two manners: having more than one tRNA (with a specific anti-codon) for a particular amino acid; and 'wobble' base-pairing, i.e. permitting non-standard base-pairing at the 3rd anti-codon position.
Source: Rfam by way of RNAcentral